GCCUCCUUGGCUCAGGGGCAGAGCGUUUGCCUGGUACUCAUCGAAAGCAGAAGGUCGAGAGUUCAUAUCUCUCACGAGGCA
Non-coding RNA from Blyttiomyces helicus, 81 nucleotides. NCBI's taxonomy places the organism in Eukaryota, Fungi, Chytridiomycota, Chytridiomycetes. The record is from the annotation of a GenBank genome assembly.